AGUUUGAAAAAUGCAUGGUGACAACUACCCCAUCUCCACCCAUUUUGAAUCACUCGGAAAAUAUUUUCUGAACUUUUACAUUUUUUAAUAUGCUUCAUAUUAAGACAUAUUCUUCACAACUCCCAAGGUAGAAUGUUAGAAAUAAGAAGAGAACAGGAAAACACAAAAUAUAGCUUGGACUAUGUGUGGUGUGUUACACCAAAGCAAAGGACUCAGAGGAAGGAAAAUGAAGGACCUCUUGUGCUGGCUGUAGACUGGUUUCUACUGAAACCUGUCAGGAUCUGAAGUGACGUCUUGAGCAGAAGCACCCCUGACAUGCCUUCAUGCAUUCAUUUUUAGAUCUAUCUUUCAAGAUAUUAUUUAUUUCAAAUCAUGCUGUCUUGUGGUGCAACACAUUUUUUCUGCAACAUUCUGGGGAUUGGUUAUUUUUAAAGGCUAGAUUUUUUUUUAUUCCUUUGGUAUAAAAGUCUUACAUGACAAUUGAUAAAAUAUUAACACAUGUUUUCAUAAUCAGAUUAUAUUCAGCUGUGUUCAUCAAGCUACUGCUUUACAUUAAUGGAAUUAUUGAUCUAACAUACAUAUGAAAAGCUUUAAUCAGCUUCUGCCUCAUCUGGAACCCUACUCACUCCCUAACUAUGUCUUGUGUGGGAAUUAUUAUACUGCCCAUAUUUUUCUUAUGUAUUUCUAAUAAACUAAACAUUGAGGAUAAGUAGCUUA
Molecule: long non-coding RNA, 717 nt
Organism: Erinaceus europaeus (western European hedgehog)
Lineage: Eukaryota; Metazoa; Chordata; Mammalia; Eulipotyphla; Erinaceidae
Exons: 3
Source: RefSeq, a predicted model, not a curated record